This 1190-nucleotide ribosomal RNA is filed under the name Flavobacterium sp. Its description in RNAcentral is "bacterial SSU rRNA". It matches the Rfam family "Bacterial small subunit ribosomal RNA", at positions 91 to 1288 of the family's 1533-position model. The record is from RNAcentral. Lineage: Bacteria; Pseudomonadati; Bacteroidota; Flavobacteriia; Flavobacteriales; Flavobacteriaceae.
GAGACCGGCGCACGGGUGCGUAACGCGUAUGCAAUCUGCCUUUCACAGAGGGAUAGCCCAGAGAAAUUUGGAUUAAUACCUCAUAGUAUNNUANANCNGCANNNNUUUANNAUUAAAGUCACAACGGUGAAAGAUGAGCAUGCGUCCCAUUAGUUAGUUGGUAAGGUAACGGCUUACCAAGACUUCGAUGGGUAGGGGUCCUGAGAGGGAGAUCCCCCACACUGGUACUGAGACACGGACCAGACUCCUACGGGAGGCAGCAGUGAGGAAUAUUGGUCAAUGGGCGCAAGCCUGAACCAGCCAUGCCGCGUGCAGGAUGACGGUCCUAUGGAUUGUAAACUGCUUUUGUACGAGAAGAAACACUGCUUCGUGAAGCAGCUUGACGGUAUCGUAAGAAUAAGGAUCGGCUAACUCCGUGCCAGCAGCCGCGGUAAUACGGAGGAUCCAAGCGUUAUCCGGAAUCAUUGGGUUUAAAGGGUCCGUAGGCGGUCUUGUAAGUCAGUGGUGAAAGCCCAUCGCUCAACGAUGGAACGGCCAUUGAUACUGCAGGACUUGAAUUAUUAGGAAGUAACUAGAAUAUGUAGUGUAGCGGUGAAAUGCUUAGAGAUUACAUGGAAUACCAAUUGCGAAGGCAGGUUACUACUAAUGGAUUGACGCUGAUGGACGAAAGCGUGGGUAGCGAACAGGAUUAGAUACCCUGGUAGUCCACGCCGUAAACGAUGGAUACUAGCUGUUGGGAGCAAUUUCAGUGGCUAAGCGAAAGUGAUAAGUAUCCCACCUGGGGAGUACGAACGCAAGUUUGAAACUCAAAGGAAUUGACGGGGGCCCGCACAAGCGGUGGAGCAUGUGGUUUAAUUCGAUGAUACGCGAGGAACCUUACCAAGGCUUAAAUGCAGACUGACCGAUUUGGAAACAGAUCUUUCGCAAGACAGUUUACAAGGUGCUGCAUGGUUGUCGUCAGCUCGUGCCGUGAGGUGUCAGGUUAAGUCCUAUAACGAGCGCAACCCCUGUUGUUAGUUGCCAGCGAGUCAUGUCGGGAACUCUAACAAGACUGCCAGUGCAAACUGUGAGGAAGGUGGGGAUGACGUCAAAUCAUCACGGCCCUUACGCCUUGGGCUACACACGUGCUACAAUGGCCGGUACAGAGAGCAGCCACUGGGCGACCAGGAGCGAAUCUAUAAAGCCGGUCA